AUUGAACGCUGGCGGCAUGCCUUACACAUGCAAGUCGAACGGUAACAGGUCUUCGGAUGCUGACGAGUGGCGAACGGGUGAGUAAUACAUCGGAACGUGCCUAGUAGUGGGGGAUAACUACUCGAAAGAGUGGCUAAUACCGCAUGAGAUCUACGGAUGAAAGCAGGGGAUCGCAAGACCUUGUGCUACUAGAGCGGCCGAUGGCAGAUUAGGUAGUUGGUGGGAUAAAAACUUACAAAGCCGACGAUCUGUAGCUGGUCUGAGAGGACGAUCAGCCACACUGGGACUGAGACACGGCCCAGACUCCUACGGGAGGCAGCAGUGGGGAAUUUUGGACAAUGGGCGCAAGCCUGAUCCAGCAAUGCCGCGUGCAGGAUGAAGGCCUUCGGGUUGUAAACUGCUUUUGUACGGAACGAAAAGCCCCGGGUUAAUACCCUGGGGUCAUGACGGUACCGUAAGAAUAAGCACCGGCUAACUACGUGCCAGCAGCCGCCGUAA
Molecule: ribosomal RNA, 498 nt
Filed under: uncultured bacterium
Lineage: Bacteria
Description: partial 16S ribosomal RNA
Rfam family: Bacterial small subunit ribosomal RNA
Source: RNAcentral